GGCCCCAUCGUCUAAUGGUCAGGACACGAGAUUCUCAAUCUCGCAAUAGGGGUUCGAUUCCCCUUGGGGCUGCCA
Molecule: transfer RNA, 75 nt
Filed under: Candidatus Termititenax persephonae
Lineage: Bacteria; Bacillati; Candidatus Margulisiibacteriota; Candidatus Termititenacia; Candidatus Termititenacales; Candidatus Termititenacaceae
Description: tRNA-Glu
Rfam family: tRNA
About the family: Transfer RNA (tRNA) molecules are approximately 80 nucleotides in length. Their secondary structure includes four short double-helical elements and three loops (D, anti-codon, and T loops). Further hydrogen bonds mediate the characteristic L-shaped molecular structure. tRNAs have two regions of fundamental functional importance: the anti-codon, which is responsible for specific mRNA codon recognition, and the 3' end, to which the tRNAs corresponding amino acid is attached (by aminoacyl-tRNA synthetases). tRNAs cope with the degeneracy of the genetic code in two manners: having more than one tRNA (with a specific anti-codon) for a particular amino acid; and 'wobble' base-pairing, i.e. permitting non-standard base-pairing at the 3rd anti-codon position.
Source: RNAcentral